RNAcentral lists this ribosomal RNA (639 nucleotides) under uncultured bacterium. RNAcentral describes it as "bacterial SSU rRNA". It matches the Rfam family "Bacterial small subunit ribosomal RNA", at positions 607 to 1244 of the family's 1533-position model. The record is from RNAcentral.
GCUUAACUACGAGCGGUCAUUGGAAACUGGAAGACUUGAGGACAGAAGAGGAGAGUGGAAUUCCACGUGUAGCGGUGAAAUGCGUAGAGAUGUGGAGGAACACCAGUGGCGAAGGCGACUCUCUGGUCUGUAACUGACGCUGAGGCGCGAAAGCGUGGGGAGCGAACAGGAUUAGAUACCCUGGUAGUCCACGCCGUAAACGAUGAGUGCUAGGUGUUAGGGGGUUUCCGCCCCUUAGUGCUGCAGUUAACGCAUUAAGCACUCCGCCUGGGGAGUACGGCCGCAAGGCUGAAACUCAAAAGAAUUGACGGGGGCCCGCACAAGCGGUGGAGCAUGUGGUUUGAUUCGAAGCAACGCGAAGAACCUUACCAGGUCUUGACAUCCCUUUGACCGUCCUAGAGAUAGGGCUUUCCCUUCGGGGACAAAGGUGACAGGUGGUGCAUGGUUGUCGUCAGCUCGUGUCGUGAGAUGUUGGGUUAAGUCCCGUAACGAGCGCAACCCUUAAUAUUAGUUGCCAGCAUUAAGUUGGGCACUCUAAUGUGACUGCCGGUGACAAACCGGAGGAAGGUGGGGAUGACGUCAAAUCAUCAUGCCCCUUAUGACCUGCGCUACACACGUGCUACAAUGGAUGGUACAACG